Molecule: ribosomal RNA, 236 nt
Filed under: uncultured Lactobacillus sp.
Lineage: Bacteria; Bacillati; Bacillota; Bacilli; Lactobacillales; Lactobacillaceae
Description: partial 16S ribosomal RNA
Rfam family: Bacterial small subunit ribosomal RNA
Source: RNAcentral
UGCCCUGAAGCGGGGGAUAACAUCUGGAAACAGGUGCUAAUACCGCAUAACAACGAAAACCACAUGGUUUUCGUUUCAAAGAUGGUUUCGGCUAUCACUUCAGGAUGGGCCCGCGGUGCAUUAGCUAGUUGGUAAGGUAACGGCUUACCAAGGCAAUGAUGCAUAGCCGAGUUGAGAGACUGAUCGGCCACAAUGGAACUGAGACACGGUCCAUACUCCUACGGGAGGCAGCAGGC